RNAcentral lists this ribosomal RNA (231 nucleotides) under uncultured bacterium. RNAcentral's name for it is "partial 16S ribosomal RNA". It matches the Rfam family "Bacterial small subunit ribosomal RNA", at positions 99 to 334 of the family's 1533-position model. The record is from RNAcentral.
CGGACGGGUGAGUAAUGUCUGGGAAACUGCCUGAUGGAGGGGGAUAACUACUGGAAACGGUAGCUAAUACCGCAUAACGUCGCAAGACCAAAGAGGGGACCUUCGGGCCUCUUGCCAUCGGAUGUGCCCAGAUGGGAUUAGCUAGCAGGUGGGGUAACGGCUCACCUAGGCGACGAUCCCUAGCUGGUCUGAGAGGAUGACCAGCCACACUGGAACUGAGACACGGUCCAG